RNAcentral lists this unclassified non-coding RNA (392 nucleotides) under Hevea brasiliensis (rubber tree). Lineage: Eukaryota; Viridiplantae; Streptophyta; Magnoliopsida; Malpighiales; Euphorbiaceae. The record is from RNAcentral.
CAUAACUUGACUUUAUAAGAGAAGAUUGACAUAUUAAAUAUGUGAAUUGAUUGUGAGCCCUCAGCAUUCAUAUGAAGUGUAUUCUCAAAUUUUCUUGUUUCUGUUAAGAUAAUAUUUAUGACAAAUAUAAUCCAUGAUGACGGUGUCAUUAACUUAUUAGUAAGAUAAAAAUUUGUUAUCAAAAGAGAAGUAAGUUUUCUGGAGUACUUUUCAAAGAGAAGUUAUGGACUAAUUGUUUGCAGAGGUAUUGUGAGUCUUUAUGAAUUAUUUUCUCCAUGCAGGGCUCUAUGAAAUUAACACGAAUACUUCAUAUAAAUGCCUCUAGACAAUAUCAAAUAAGUAUUGAACAAAUUCUAGGAGAAGCUUACCAAUAGCUUCAACUAAGCGCAGAA